This 148-nucleotide non-coding RNA is filed under the name Nomascus leucogenys (northern white-cheeked gibbon). The record is from Rfam by way of RNAcentral. Lineage: Eukaryota; Metazoa; Chordata; Mammalia; Primates; Hylobatidae.
GCUGGGCAUUGUGGCGUGUGCCUGUAGUCCCAGCUACUUGGGAGGCUGAGGCAGAAGAAUCACUUGAACCUGGGAGGCUGAGGUUGCAGUGAGCCAAGAUUGUGCCACUGCACUCCAGCCUGGGCGACAGAGAGAGACUCCGUCUCAA